This 301-nucleotide ribosomal RNA is filed under the name uncultured bacterium. RNAcentral's name for it is "partial 16S ribosomal RNA". It matches the Rfam family "Bacterial small subunit ribosomal RNA", at positions 509 to 807 of the family's 1533-position model. The record is from RNAcentral.
CAGCCGCCGCGGGAAUACGAAGGGUGCAAGCGUUAAUCGGAAUUACUGGGCGUAAAGCGUGCGUAGGCGGGUUGUUAAGUCUGCUGUGAAAUCCCCGGGCUCAACCUGGGAAUGGCAGUGGAUACUGGCAAGCUAGAGUGUGGUAGAGGAUAGUGGAAUUUCCGGUGUAGCAGUGAAAUGUGUAGAGAUCGGAAGGAACAUCUGUGGCGAAGGCGACUAUCUGGGCCAACACUGACACUGAGGCACGAAAGCGUGGGGAGCAAACAGGAUUAGAUACCCCAGUAGUCCCUGUCUCUUAUAC